RNAcentral lists this unclassified non-coding RNA (206 nucleotides) under uncultured Sebacinaceae. RNAcentral's name for it is "sequence contains ITS2". Lineage: Eukaryota; Fungi; Basidiomycota; Agaricomycetes; Sebacinales; Sebacinaceae. The record is from RNAcentral.
GUACUCUCACACUCUCCGAUCCUUUGGAUUUGGGGAGCGGUGGACCUGGGUGCUUGCUGCUUUUGCUGUGGCUCACCUCAAAUGUGUCAGUGCAUCUCUUGAUUGGACAUAGUACGGCGUGAUAAGUGUCUUCGCCGGCACCUCGCAAGAGGGUGGCCCGAUCGAGAGCUCUGUGCUUUCAAACCGUCUUCGGACACUGUCUGACA